CACCGUAAGAAAGUAAAUCAAAAAGACAACAAAAAUGGUGACUUUAAUUAAAUCAUUUUUUCUGGUAAAAAAAGGUCAUCCGUGUUUUUAUAAAAUAAUGAAAUCGUAAAAUUGAGCGUUUUUAUGUUUUUCCCACUUUCAUUUAAAAAAUGACCUCUCUAAAGUACAAUCUAGACAACUUGAGCUUUCAUAAAAGUUGUUACACAUAAAAAUCGGAGUGAGUUUACUAGGAAAAAACGUGUCCACAGACUAGAACAAAGAAGAAGAAGAAAUAAACAGUAUUGUAAAACCAAUAGCUCCC
This is a non-coding RNA of Cinara cedri, 301 nucleotides long. NCBI's taxonomy places the organism in Eukaryota, Metazoa, Arthropoda, Insecta, Hemiptera, Aphididae. The record is from the annotation of a GenBank genome assembly.